AUACGUAGGGAGCGAGCGUUGUCCGGAAUUACUGGGUGUAAAGGGAGCGUAGGCGGGAGUGCAAGUCAGAUGGGAAAUACAGGGGCUCAACCCAUGGGCUGCAUUUGAAACUGCAUUUCUUGAGUGGAGUAGAGGUAAGCGGAAUUCCUGGUGUAGCGGUGAAAUGCGUAGAUAUUAGGAGGAACACCGGUUGCGAAGGCGGCUUACUGGGCUUUUACUGACGCUGAGGCUCGAAAGCGUGGGGAGCAAACAGGAUUAGAUGCCCUGGUAGUCCACGCUGUAAACGAUGAUUACUAGGUGUGGGGGGACUGACCCCUUCCGUGCCGCAGUUAACACAAUAAGUAAUCCGCCUGGGGAGUACGGCCGCAAGGUUGAAACUCAAAUGAAUUGACGGGG
This 396-nucleotide ribosomal RNA is filed under the name uncultured bacterium. Its description in RNAcentral is "partial 16S ribosomal RNA". It matches the Rfam family "Bacterial small subunit ribosomal RNA", at positions 523 to 918 of the family's 1533-position model. The record is from RNAcentral.